This 403-nucleotide ribosomal RNA is filed under the name uncultured bacterium. RNAcentral's name for it is "partial 16S ribosomal RNA". It matches the Rfam family "Bacterial small subunit ribosomal RNA", at positions 30 to 526 of the family's 1533-position model. The record is from RNAcentral.
AUUGAACGCUGGCGGCAGGCCUAACACAUGCAAGUCGAGCGAGCGGCGGACGGGUGAGUAAUGUAUGGGGACUGCCCGAUAGAGGGUGAUAACUACUGGAAACGGUAGCUAAUACCGCAUACUAUCGGAUAACCCAUAUGGGAUUAGCUAGUAGGUGAGGUAAUGGCUCACCUAGGCGACGAUCCCUAGCUGGUCUGAGAGGAUGAUCAGCCAGCGUGGUACUGAGACACGGCCCAGCCGCUUGGGGAGGCAGCAGUGGGGAAUGUUGCACAAAGAGAGCAGGCCUGAUGCAGCCAUGCAGAGUGUAUGAAGAAGGCCGUAGGGUUGUAAAGUACUUUAAGUGGGGAGGCGUUACCGACAGAAGAAGCACCGGCUAACUCCGUGCCAGCAGCCGCGGUAAUUC